Molecule: ribosomal RNA, 356 nt
Filed under: uncultured Glomeraceae
Lineage: Eukaryota; Fungi; Glomeromycota; Glomeromycetes; Glomerales; Glomeraceae
Description: SSU rRNA
Rfam family: Eukaryotic small subunit ribosomal RNA
Source: RNAcentral
AGCAGCCGCGGUAAUUCCAGCUCCAAUAGCGUAUAUUAAAGUUGUUGCAGUUAAAAAGCUCGUAGUUGAAUUUCGGGAUUAGUGCGCCGGUCGUGCCUUCGGUAUGUACUGGUGUUACUGGUUCCUACCUUCUGACGAACCGUCAUGUUAUUAAUUUGGUGUGGCGGGGAAUCAGGACUGUUACUUUGAAAAAAUUAGAGUGUUUAAAGCAGGCUCGCGCUUGAAUACAUUAGCAUGGAAUAAUGAAAUAGGACGUUCGAUCCUAUUUUGUUGGUUUCUAGGAUUGACGUAAUGAUUAAUAGGGAUAGUUGGGGGCAUUAGUAUUCAAUUGUCAGAGGUGAAAUUCUUGGAUUUGU